GUCCAGCUGAUGAGUCGCAUAUAGGACGAAACGCCCGUUCUGGAU
This 45-nucleotide non-coding RNA is filed under the name Schistosoma haematobium. Lineage: Eukaryota; Metazoa; Platyhelminthes; Trematoda; Strigeidida; Schistosomatidae. The record is from RNAcentral.